AGUCCUACGGGGCGCAGCAGUGGGGAAUAUUGCACAAUGGGGGAAACCCUGAUGCAGCGACGCCGCGUGAAGGAUGAAGUAUUUCGGUAUGUAAACUUCUAUCAGCAGGGAAGAAAAUGACGGUACCUGACUAAGAAGCCCCGGCUAACUACGUGCCAGCAGCCGCGGUAAUACGUAGGGGGCAAGCGUUAUCCGGAUUUACUGGGUGUAAAGGGAGCGUAGACGGUAUGGCAAGUCUGAUGUGAAAACCCGGGGCUCAACCGCGGGACUGCAU
Molecule: ribosomal RNA, 274 nt
Filed under: uncultured bacterium
Lineage: Bacteria
Description: partial 16S ribosomal RNA
Rfam family: Bacterial small subunit ribosomal RNA
Source: RNAcentral